This 440-nucleotide ribosomal RNA is filed under the name uncultured bacterium. RNAcentral describes it as "bacterial SSU rRNA". It matches the Rfam family "Bacterial small subunit ribosomal RNA", at positions 338 to 795 of the family's 1533-position model. The record is from RNAcentral.
CCUACGGGAGGCAGCAGUGGGGAAUAUUGCACAAUGGGCGCAAGCCUGAUGCAGCGACGCCGCGUGAGCGAUGAAGGCCUUCGGGUCGUAAAGCUCUGUCCUAAGGGAAGAAUAAUGACGGUACCUUAGGCGGAAGCCCCGGCUAACUACGUGCCAGCAGCCGAGGUAAUACGUAGGGGGCGAGCGUUGUCCGGAAUCACUGGGCGUAAAGGGUGCGUAGGCGGCUUUAUAAGUCAGGUGUGAAAGGCUUCGGCUCAACCGAAGUGGGCACGUGAAACUGUAGGGCUUGAGUGAAGGAGAGGAGAGCGGAAUGCCUAGUGUAGCGGUGAAAUGCGUAGAUAGUAGGAGGAACACCAGUGGCGAAGGCGGCGCUCUGGACUGUAACUGACGCUGAGGCACGAAAGCGUGGGGAGCAAACAGGAUUAGAUACCCUAGUAGUC